UGUUGGGUUAAGUCCCGCAACGAGCGCAACCCUCGUCGUUAGUUGCCAGCAUUUGGUUGGGCACUCUAGCGAGACUGCCGGUGACAAACCGGAGGAAGGUGGGGAUGACGUCAAGUCAGCAUGCCCCUUACGUCCUGGGCUACACACGUACUACAAUGCUGUGGACAAAGAGUUGCCAGCCCGCGAGGGUGAGCUAAUCUCAUAAACCACGGCCCAGUUCAGAUUGCAGGCUGCAACUCGCCUGCAUGAAGGCGGAAUCGCUAGUAAUCGCAGGUCAGCAUACUGCGGUGAAUACGUUCCCGGGCCUUGUACACACCGCCCGUCACACCAUGGGAGUUGGCCACGCCCGAAGUCGUUACUCCAACUGUUCGCAGAGGGGGAUGCCGAAGGCAGGGCUGAUGACUGGGGUGAAGUCGUAACAAGGUAGCCGUACCGGAAGGUGUGGCUGGAUCACCUCCUUU
RNAcentral lists this ribosomal RNA (461 nucleotides) under uncultured cyanobacterium. RNAcentral describes it as "bacterial SSU rRNA". It matches the Rfam family "Bacterial small subunit ribosomal RNA", at positions 1073 to 1533 of the family's 1533-position model. Lineage: Bacteria; Bacillati; Cyanobacteriota. The record is from RNAcentral.